GAUGAAGAACGUAGCGAAAUGCGAUAAGUAAUGCGAAUUGCAGAAUUUCCGUGAGUCAUCGAAUCUUUGAACGCACAUUGCGCCCCUUGGUAUUCCAUGGGGCAUGCCUGUUCGAGCGUCAUUUGUACCUUCAAGCUCUGCUUGGUGUUGGGUGUUUGUCUCGCCUUUGCGUGUAGACUCGCCUUAAAACCAUUGGCAGCCGGCGUAUUGAUUUCGGAGCGCAGUACAUCUCGCGCUUUGCACUCAGAACGACGACGUCCAAAAGUACAUUUUUACACUCUUGACCUCGGAUCAGGUAGGGAUACCCGCUGAACUUAAGCAUAUCAAUAAGCGGAGGA
Molecule: unclassified non-coding RNA, 338 nt
Filed under: soil metagenome
Description: partial contains 5.8S ribosomal RNA, internal transcribed spacer 2, and large subunit ribosomal RNA
Rfam family: 5.8S ribosomal RNA (bases 1-121)
Source: RNAcentral